This 204-nucleotide ribosomal RNA is filed under the name Limosilactobacillus reuteri. RNAcentral describes it as "Lactobacillus reuteri partial 23S ribosomal RNA". It matches the Rfam family "Bacterial large subunit ribosomal RNA", at positions 2639 to 2839 of the family's 2925-position model. The record is from RNAcentral. Lineage: Bacteria; Bacillati; Bacillota; Bacilli; Lactobacillales; Lactobacillaceae.
UAUCCGUCGCGGGCGUAGGAAAUUUGAGAGGACCUGUCCUUAGUACGAGAGGACCGGGAUGGACAUACCGCUGGUGUACCAGUUGUUCCGCCAGGAGCACCGCUGGGUAGCUAUGUAUGGACGAGAUAAACGCUGAAAGCAUCUAAGUGUGAAACUCGCCUCGAGAUGAGAUUUCCCAUUUCCUUCGGGAAAGUAAGACCCCUC